This 55-nucleotide transfer RNA is filed under the name Bulinus globosus. RNAcentral describes it as "tRNA-Lys". RNAcentral also lists the same sequence under 1 other name. The record is from RNAcentral. Lineage: Eukaryota; Metazoa; Mollusca; Gastropoda; Planorbidae.
UUUUUGAAAGCUUUUAUAGCAAUAAACUUUUAAUUUAUUAAAGAUUUUUAAUCUC